AACGCACGAGACCUGCGGACCUGCGGAGGGAUCAUUACCGAAGUGGAUGUGGCUGUGGGUUGGCGCGGGCCGGUCUGCAGCCGCACAUUCGUGCUGGGGAGGUGAGGGUGUGGGUGGGGGUGGCAGCGUCGUUGCGGUGUCGCAGCGUCGCUUCCAGUCCCGUCUGCCCGCCCUCGCUUCCGGUGCACAUCUGCGCUUGAUUGUGUGAUGAUCGUGUGACAACCAAACUACUAUACAACU
Molecule: unclassified non-coding RNA, 240 nt
Filed under: soil metagenome
Description: partial contains 5.8S ribosomal RNA, internal transcribed spacer 2, and large subunit ribosomal RNA
Source: RNAcentral